Molecule: long non-coding RNA, 440 nt
Organism: Marmota flaviventris (yellow-bellied marmot)
Lineage: Eukaryota; Metazoa; Chordata; Mammalia; Rodentia; Sciuridae
Source: RefSeq, a predicted model, not a curated record
GGCUGGGCGUUAUCCUAGGCAACAGAGUCGGGCGGUUACCCCGGAUGGGGGAGGUGGUGAAGGACUGGGACCAGGGAAUAGUGAGGCCCUUUUGACUAAAGAAAGGGGAAUGGUAUAAACUGAGGCCCAGAUGGUGAAGCCAGAUCUCAUGAGCCAUCCACUCAGUUUUUCCUUGUGUUCCAGUUUGGGUCCUGCUUGUCCAGUAUCCCGUCUGCGCCUGCUUCUUCUCUCUAACCAGUGAGAUCUGGAUUCGAGUCUCAGCUCAACAAGUGUGGACUUGGACGAAUUAUUGAACCUUCUUGAGUCUCUAUUUCACCUUGGAGAGAAGAUUCUUUGCAGAUGAUCUCUCAACUUCCCCCUUCUUAUGAAAACAAGGGCCUAGACGAGUGCCUGAUUCAUGAUUGGCCGACAAUAAACAUUUUUGAAUGAAUGAACAGAAU